CCCUUAGAUGUCCUGGGCCGCACGCGCGCUACACUGAACGGAUCAGCGCGUUUUCCCUUCCCGAGAGGGACGGGUAACCUGCUGAACCCCGUUCGUGGUAGGGAUCGGGGCUUGCAAUUAUUCCCCGUGAACCAGGAAUGCCCAGUAAGUGCAAGUCAUAAGCUUGCGUUGAUUACGUCCCUGCCCUUUGUACACACCGCCCGUCGCUACUACCGAUUGAACGUUUUAGUGAGGUGCUCGGACUGAGCCUCAGAAGAUUCACGUCUUUUGUGCUGCUCGGGAAGAUUCCCAAACUUGAGCGUUUAGAGGAAGUAAAAGUCGUAACA
RNAcentral lists this ribosomal RNA (326 nucleotides) under uncultured eukaryote. RNAcentral's name for it is "partial 18S ribosomal RNA". It matches the Rfam family "Eukaryotic small subunit ribosomal RNA", at positions 1470 to 1796 of the family's 1831-position model. The record is from RNAcentral.